RNAcentral lists this transfer RNA (76 nucleotides) under Acidithiobacillus montserratensis. Its description in RNAcentral is "tRNA-Arg". It matches the Rfam family "tRNA". Rfam says of the family: Transfer RNA (tRNA) molecules are approximately 80 nucleotides in length. Lineage: Bacteria; Pseudomonadati; Pseudomonadota; Acidithiobacillia; Acidithiobacillales; Acidithiobacillaceae. The record is from RNAcentral.
GCCCCGGUAGCUCAGUGGAUAGAGCAACCGCCUCCUAAGCGGUAGGUCAACGGUUCGAUUCCGUUCCGGGGCACCA